AAGUUAGUUUUGCUUUGUGCUAUGCACACACUGUACCAUACAGCUCUAUAAAUGCUAACCCAGAGCAGUGCUUUUCAACCUUUUUUCAUUUGUGGACCUUAAAUUUCAAGUGGUGCUUUGAAAUCUUAGACCCAGUUUGCAAACUCCCAGCAGUCUCUGGACCACAGGUUGAAGACCACUUACCUUGUGCAUUAAGAAUAGGGGACGUGACAUAACAGGGAGCUGGUUGAUUCCCUCCUGAGCAAUGCUAACUCAAGCCUGAUUGGAGGACAUUUGUAUCCAGGGAGUGACUGAUGUAGCCUAUAAGGAUGGUAAAAUAAAGUGGAAGUCCUUAAUAAAAAAAUGUUUCUUGAA
Molecule: long non-coding RNA, 354 nt
Organism: Gopherus flavomarginatus (Mexican gopher tortoise)
Lineage: Eukaryota; Metazoa; Chordata; Testudines; Testudinidae
Exons: 2
Source: RefSeq, a predicted model, not a curated record